RNAcentral lists this ribosomal RNA (427 nucleotides) under uncultured bacterium. RNAcentral describes it as "partial 16S ribosomal RNA". It matches the Rfam family "Bacterial small subunit ribosomal RNA", at positions 355 to 774 of the family's 1533-position model. The record is from RNAcentral.
UGGGGAAUAUUGCACAAUGGGCGCAAGCCUGAUGCAGCCAUGCCGCGUGUAUGAAGAAGGCCUUCGGGUUGUAAAGUACUUUCAGCGGGGAGGAAGGUGUUGUGGUUAAUAACCACAGCAAUUGACGUUACCCGCAGAAGAAGCACCGGCUAACUCCGUGCCAGCAGCCGCGGUAAUACGGAGGGUGCAAGCGUUAAUCGGAAUUACUGGGCGUAAAGCGCACGCAGGCGGUCUGUCAAGUCGGAUGUGAAAUCCCCGGGCUCAACCUGGGAACUGCAUCCGAAACUGGCAGGCUUGAGUCUUGUAGAGGGGGGUAGAAUUCCAGGUGUAGCGGUGAAAUGCGUAGAGAUCUGGAGGAAUACCGGUGGCGAAGGCGGCCCCCUGGACAAAGACUGACGCUCAGGUGCGAAAGCUUGGGGAGCAAACA